Molecule: ribosomal RNA, 253 nt
Filed under: uncultured bacterium
Lineage: Bacteria
Description: partial 16S ribosomal RNA
Rfam family: Bacterial small subunit ribosomal RNA
Source: RNAcentral
UACAGAGGGGGCAAGCGUUGUUCGGAAUUACUGAGCGUAAAGGGCGCGUAGGCGGCCUUCUAAGUCGAACGUGAAAUCCCCGGGCUCAACCCGGGAACUGCGUCCGAUACUGGAGGGCUUGAAUCCGGGAGAGGGAUGUGGAAUUCCAGGUGUAGCGGUGAAAUGCGUAGAUAUCUGGAGGAACACCGGUGGCGAAGGCGACAUCCUGGACCGGUAUUGACGCUGAGGCGCGAAAGCCAGGGGAGCAAACUGG